RNAcentral lists this small RNA (423 nucleotides) under Oryza sativa Japonica Group (Japanese rice). Its description in RNAcentral is "sRNA Os07g0564566". The stretch from base 270 to 423 matches the Rfam family "MIR812 microRNA precursor family", at positions 1 to 158 of the family's 205-position model. The record is from RNAcentral. Lineage: Eukaryota; Viridiplantae; Streptophyta; Magnoliopsida; Poales; Poaceae.
UGUGUACGAGGGUCACCCCAGUGACAUGGUGCAGUGCGGCUGGCAACACGUGCAUAGGGCGUGGUUCGGCGUGGGAAAAUGAAAAGAGAAAAAGAGAGUGGGCGAUGGGCCCCACCAUAUUUUUUUUAUUUUCUUUUUUUUACUAUGUUAGCUAAACCAAGUGCUAAUACUACCAUGGGAUGAUGGGACUCUUGUUGCACGGUUUUUUACAAUUUAGGUGUGAAGAUUUUUGGUAUUAGGAUAAGAGGUACUAUCUCCGUCCCAAAAUAAAUAAGUGUAGUUUUACACUGUUUAUGUCGAACGUUCAUCCAUCCGUCUUAUUUGAAAUUUUUUUAUGGUUAGUAUUUUUGUUAUUAUUAGAUGAUAAAACAUGAAUAGUACUUUAUGUGUGACUAUUUUUUUUCCAUAUUUUUUUUUCAAAUA